This 467-nucleotide ribosomal RNA is filed under the name uncultured bacterium. Its description in RNAcentral is "partial 16S ribosomal RNA". It matches the Rfam family "Bacterial small subunit ribosomal RNA", at positions 28 to 507 of the family's 1533-position model. The record is from RNAcentral.
GACGAACGCUGGCGGCGUGCCUAACACAUGCAAGUCGAACGAUGACGACCGAGCUUGUUCGGUCUGAUUAUUGCCGAACGCGUGAGUAACACGUGUGCAACCUGCCCUUCACUCUCGUAUAACCUCGCGUAAUCGGGGCUAAUAUCGGAUAUGAUCUCCUGUCGCAUGGCGGGCGUUGGAACGUUUUUCGUUGAAGGAUGGGCUCGGGGCCUAUCGGUUUGUUGGUGAGGUAGUGGCUCACCAAGGCGAUGACGGGUAGCCGGCCUGAGAGGGCGACCGGCGACAAGAGGACUAAGAGACGGACCAGACUGCAACGGGAGGCAGCGGUGGGGAAUAUUACACAGUGGGCGAGAGCCUGAGACGAAGGCGCCGGGUGAGGGAAGACGGCCUUCGGGUUGUAAACCUCUGUCAGCAGAGAAGAAGCGGAAGUGACGGUACCUGCAGAAGAAGCGCCGGCUAACUACGUG